RNAcentral lists this ribosomal RNA (417 nucleotides) under Listeria monocytogenes. RNAcentral's name for it is "SSU rRNA". It matches the Rfam family "Eukaryotic small subunit ribosomal RNA", at positions 1201 to 1634 of the family's 1831-position model. Lineage: Bacteria; Bacillati; Bacillota; Bacilli; Caryophanales; Listeriaceae. The record is from RNAcentral.
CAACACGGGAAACCUCACCCGGCCCGGACACGGACAGGAUUGACAGAUUGAUAGCUCUUUCUCGAUUCCGUGGGUGGUGGUGCAUGGCCGUUCUUAGUUGGUGGAGCGAUUUGUCUGGUUAAUUCCGAUAACGAACGAGACUCUGGCAUGCUAACUAGUUACGCGACCCCCGAGCGGUCGGCGUCCCCCAACUUCUUAGAGGGACAAGUGGCGUUCAGCCACCCGAGAUUGAGCAAUAACAGGUCUGUGAUGCCCUUAGAUGUCCGGGGCUGCACGCGCGCUACACUGACUGGCUCAGCGUGUGCCUACCCUACGCCGGCAGGCGCGGGUAACCCGUUGAACCCCAUUCGUGAUGGGGAUCGGGGAUUGCAAUUAUUCCCCAUGAACGAGGAAUUCCCAGUAAGUGCGGGUCAUAAG